This is a long non-coding RNA of Rhinopithecus roxellana (golden snub-nosed monkey), 1273 nucleotides long. RefSeq lists it as uncharacterized. The transcript has 3 exons. The record is from RefSeq and is a predicted model, not a curated record. NCBI's taxonomy places the organism in Eukaryota, Metazoa, Chordata, Mammalia, Primates, Cercopithecidae.
CACCGCUGCACUCCAGCCUGGGCAACAAGAGCAAGACUCUGUCACACACACACACACACACACAAAGAAAAAUACAGACACACAAAGGAUAUUAUAGAAAUGCACCAAACAUGAAUUACUGGCACAGAUAUAAUAUUUCAAAACAUUAGUUAAUAUUAGAUUGAGACAUCCUAUUACAAUAUUAAAACCAUGCCCCUUUCAAUUCAAGUGAGCACUUCUAUCUCCAUUCCAAGACCCUGUGAUUUUAUACACAUUUAACACAACAGCAACAAUAACAGUAAUGCUAGCUACUAUUUGUUAUGCCCUUAAUGAGUGCCAAGCUCGGCUAAAUAUGUAAAACAUGUUUUGUUUGUUUUAUUGAUGAAGAGAUGAUGUCUUAAACAACCAGAAGAUACUGCAAGUUCAAAGUCCUGGAGGCCAGAAGGAGCUUGUAUUCAAGAAACAGAAAAGAAAUAUAAGAAAACAUAUUUUCUCAAGGAAAUCCUCUGAUGCCCUGCUGGCACUUCCCAUUGGCUGGAUCGAACUGGAACCCCAAGAUCAAGGAAUCCUCUGUGAUGGCAUCCAUGGGGGUCCGCUUCGUGGGGGAGCACCAAGCAGGGUGGAAAACCCUGAGGAACCAACCCUGCUCCCCACUCCAGCUUUCUCACCCUUCACCUCCAGCCCCAGGACAAGAUGAGCAGGAGGAGGGGCAGCUGCCCAACACUCACUGAGGAGUCAGCCUCUGGACCUCAGAGCCAGCAACACCCCCUGCACUCACACCCGCACCUCAUCCUGCUGCCUUCUCCUGAGGAGGGGAAACUGAGGCCCAGAGAGGGAGGGCAUGAGCUCUAAUUCGAGUCCUCUGGGACGACAGCAGCACCUCAUCACAUGCACACCGAGAACCAACACACAUUUUUCUGGACCGCAGGAUAUUUUAAAAGGUUUUCUUUUUUAAUACAGAAAAGCAUAAAGACGAAAAUGGUCUGUAAUGCUGCCACACAGAUAAUCCCAGUGGUAUUUUUAAAAUAAAGUUAAUGAAUGCCCAUGUUUGCAAAAUUCAAACCAUACCAAAGGAUUAUAAAAUGAAAACUCAAACCUUUUCCAUCACAGUCGCUCUCCUCAGAAGCGAUGCCGCUUUGUUUCCUUGCUGAAGACAUUGGCGUGCCAGCAUUUUUUACCUAUAAAAAGAAAAUCACUCUGCCCACUAUUUUGGACCUUGCCAUUUUUUCACCUCAAACACAUCUUGGCAGAUCUUUCCACAUCCACACUGCUAAUCUGCCUCCUUCUUUCUAAG